RNAcentral lists this unclassified non-coding RNA (712 nucleotides) under Camellia sinensis. Its description in RNAcentral is "partial contains small subunit ribosomal RNA, internal transcribed spacer 1, 5.8S ribosomal RNA, internal transcribed spacer 2, and large subunit ribosomal RNA". The record is from RNAcentral. Lineage: Eukaryota; Viridiplantae; Streptophyta; Magnoliopsida; Ericales; Theaceae.
GAGAAGUCGUAACAAGGUUUUCGUAGGUGAACCUGCGGAAGGAUCAUUGUCGAUGUCCCUGAGCAAUCGACCCGUGAACUUGUCAUGUUACCGCUGGAGAAGCAGGGGGCGGGCCGUCAGUGCUCUCCUAUUGCCCCUCAUCAGGAGUGCACCCGGGGCCCCUCCGGGGCAACGGGUGCCAUUCCCUGGCAAAACAAACAAACCCCGGUGCGCAUCCCGCCAAGGAACUUGAACGAAGAGUGCGCGCUCACGUGCUGCAUCUCAUGAAAAAACUAAAUGACUCUUGGCAACGAAUAUCUCAGCUCUCGCAUCGAUGAAGAAUGUAGCGAAAUGCGAUACUUGGUGUGAAUUGCAGAAUCCUGUGAACGAUCAAGUCUUUGAACGCAAGUUGCGCCCAAAGCCAUUAGGUUGAGGACACGUCUGCCUAGGCAUCUCACGUUGCGUCGCCCGUACUCCCUUAGCCCAGAAGGGAAGGGUUGCGGGCGGAUGUUGGCCUGCAUAGGUGCRCCGGGGCGCGGUUGCCCUAAAAACGAGUCCCUCGCAACAGACGACGUGUCGCGACGAGUGUUGGUUGACAAACCGUUGCAUCGCCUCACGCRCGUCCGAGUCAUCGCUGAAGGUUUGUUGUGACCCUAUUGGGCCGUUGCCAAGGCGCUCUGAUCRCGACCCCAGNUCAGGCGRGAUUACCUGCUGAGUUUAAGCAUAUCAAUAA